AAAUUUUUAUGACAACCCAAUAAAAUUAGCUAACGGCUAGCUAGCUAAACUAGCCAGGAGUGGAAAACGAAACGGUGACUGUUAUGACUUCGGCCAUGUUUACCAAACGUUAUAUCUCAUUAUGUCUUGAAAAUGUAGCUUGAUGGUUUGGGUAACAAGUUAAUUUACUACCUCGUUUAUGGUGGCUAACUAGCUAUAUUUAAAAAGGACGGGGCCACAGGCCCAUUUGUUACAUGUCCCACCCUCAUAGGCCAUUGCAAGGCUAAUCCGUGGAAUAUGUUGUUGUUGCAGUGAAUAUAAUCUAAAUACGGGUAGGUAUUUAGCUAACUAGUGAGCUAGCUAGUUAGCUACCACAAAUCAUAGUGACAUUGAAGAUUGCACAAGAACCCACUACUAUCGCUAGCUAGUAGGUAGGCCUACAUUAAUUAAUAGUUGUAGACCGCCAAUCUGAGAUUUAAUACCAGAGAGGUAUACCACAAGGCAGGAUAAAGUAGCCAGUUUACUCGCCUAAAUAUAAUGAAAUAACUUCUUUUUUUUCUAGAAAACUUGAAAUGGUCAAGGUCAAAUUGAUUGAACACACCCGAAAACACAUCCAGUGUCUUCAGUAUUUAUUCCUCCUUUUCCACGUUGUGACAAAGAAAUAGUUUUUUAAUCCCACUUUUAACAGUCAAUGUUGGUCAGUAAUCUACACAAAAUACUCUGUCAAAGUGGAAGAAAAAUAAAACACAUAUUGAUUAUAUAAAUAUAAAACCUCCUGAAUCAAUCAAUACAUGUUAGAAUGACCUUUGGCAGUGAUUACAGGUGUUACUCAUUAUGGGUAAAUAUAUGACUUUUGCACACCUGGAUUGUAAAGUAUUUGAACACUAGUAUUAAAAUAAAUAUUUAAGCUCUAACAAAUUGGUCAUAGAUCAUUUCUUGGUGGCCAUUUUCAAGUCUUGCCAUAGAUUUUCAACAUGAUUUAAGUAAACUGUAACUAGGCCACUCGGGAACAUUUAAUGUCAUCAUGGUAAGCAACUCCGGUGUAUAUUCGGCCUUGUGUUUUAGGUUAUUGUCUUGCUGAAAGGGGAAUUUGUCUCCCAGUGUCUGUCGGAAAGCAGAUUGAACCAGAUUUUCCUGGAGGAUUUUGUCUGUCCUUGGUUCUAUUCUGUUUAUUUUGAGCAUUAACGCCCUAGUCCUUGCCGACGACAAGGCUACCCAUAACAUGAUGCAGCCUCCACCAUUCUUGAAAAAAUGAAAAGUGGUACUCAGUAAUGUGUUGUUGGAUUUUCCCCAAACUUAACGCUUUUUAUUCAGGACAUAAAGUUCAUUACUUUGCCAUUUUUGCCUACUUUCGUGCCUUAUUGCAAACAGGAUGCAUGUUUUGGAAUAAAAAAAAUCUGUACAGGCUUCCUUAUUUUGCUCUCAUUUAAGUUAGUAUUGUUGAGUAACAACAAUGUUAACCAAAACACAGUUUUCUCCUAUCACAGCAAUUCAACUCUGUAACCAUGAGCCUUCCUCUCCGGUAACUGAGUUAGGAAGGACGCCUGUAUCUUUGUAGUGACUGGGUGUAUUGACACACCAUCCAAAGUGUAAUUAAUAACUUCACCAUGCUCAAAGGGAUAUUCAAAAUCUGUCUUUUUUUAAAUGAUUGUUUACCCAUCUACCAAUAGGUGCCCUUUGUGAGGCAUUGGAAAAUCUCCCUGGUUUUUGUGGUUGAAUCUGUGUUUGAAAUUCAAUGCUCGACUGAGGGACCUUACAGAUAAUUGUAUAUGUGGGGUACAGAGAUAGAGGUAGUUAUUCACAAAUCAUGUUAAACACCAUUAUUGAACACAGUGAGGACAUGCAUCUUAUUAUGUGACUUGUUUAACCAAUGCUUACUCCUGAACUUAUUUAGGCUUGCUAUAAGAAAGGGUUUGAAUACUUAUCGACUGAAGGCAUUAAAGCUUUUCAUUUUGAAUUAAUUUGGAAGAACAGAAUUCCACUUUGACAUCAAGGGGUAUUGUGUGUCAUUGGCCUACACACAAUCUCAAUUGAAUCCAUUUUAAAUUUAGUCUGUAACACAACAACAUGUCGAAAAAGUCAAUGGCUGUGAAUACUUUCUGAAAGCACUCUUAUCUAUAUUUAACUUUCCUAAUGAACCAGAUAAAUCUGUAGUUAUUUCUGGUUGUUUAUCAAAGUUAGCUGGCUAACUCAUUGAUAUUUCUGGUUGUUUCUCAAAGUUAGCUGGCUAACUCAUUGAUCUUGCUUCGUAGGAUACCCCGAGGGGUAUCAAAGGUUCCUGUCAUGUCACUGAUGGGGUGUUGCCAGUCAAUUUGUCUCACUAGGAAAUAGAUGAAUGAUUACAUCAAAUCAAAUUUGAUUGGUUACAUGCAGAUGUUAUUGCGGGUGUAGCGAAAUGCUUGUGCUUCUAGCUCCGACAGUGCAGUAAUAUCUAACAAAAAUUCACAACAUCUACCCAAUACACUGUGGCAAAGAAGGGGGUCGAGUGAUAAGUGGCAGAUAUGUGAGAGCAGAACUAAUAAACGGGCUCUGCCCGAUCACUAAAAUGGCCACCCCUGUCAGAACUACAGAUCACAAAAUGGCCGACCGCCAAAACUACAAGUCCCAGAAGCAAGGGGAACCCUCAGAAGGUGGAGCCGACUCACAGAUAAAGGGUCAAGAAAAACCAGGAAGAGGGAGAGAGAGUGCUGGAAGGAGCUAUGAACAAUAGAGAAAGAGACUAUAGAGAUUGGCUGGAUUUACCGUGUAUGAGCUGGAUUGUUUUGGACUUACCUGUUGGCGUUUGGACCUGGACCUACCGAGAACCCGAUUCGUGUACCGAACCCUGCUAUCCUUGACCUCGCCUACGGCCUGGGUGGACCAGGACAAACACACAGAACUACAGAUCACAAAAUGGCCGACCGCCAAAACUACAAGUCCCAGAAGCAAGGGGAACCCUCAGAAGGUGGAGCCGACUCACAGAUAAAGGGUCAAGAAAAACCAGGAAGAGGGAGAGAGAGUGCUGGAAGGAGCUAUGAACAAUAGAGAAAGAGACUAUAGAGAUUGGCUGGAUUUACCGUGUAUGAGCUGGAUUGUUUUGGACUUACCUGUUGGCGUUUGGACCUGGACCUACCGAGAACCCGAUUCGUGUACCGAACCCUGCUAUCCUUGACCUCGCCUACGGCCUGGGUGGACCAGGACAAACACACAGAACUACAGAUCACAAAAUGGCCGACCGCCAAAACUACAAGUCCCAGAAGCAAGGGGAACCCUCAGAAGGUGGAGCCGACUCACAGAUAAAGGGUCAAGAAAAACCAGGAAGAGGGAGAGAGAGUGCUGGAAGGAGCUAUGAACAAUAGAGAAAGAGACUAUAGAGAUUGGCUGGAUUUACCGUGUAUGAGCUGGAUUGUUUUGGACUUACCUGUUGGCGUUUGGACCUGGACCUACCGAGAACCCGAUUCGUGUACCGAACCCUGCUAUCCUUGACCUCGCCUACGGCCUGGGUGGACCAGGACAAACACACAGGUACUGUCCUGUUCGAAAGAACUCUCAUUCUUGGGUGAUUUGGUGACAGUUUACCACUUAGUUUGUGACAAACGCUCCUAACCUUGAAGAGGUUUGCCACAACACACACUAGAGGUUGACCGAUUAAUCGUAAUGGCCGAUUAAUUGGGGCCGAUUUCAAGUUUUCAAUAACAAUUGGAUCCGUAUUUUUGGACACCGAUUCGGUCGAUUUAUAAUAAUAAAAAACUUUAUUUAACUAGGCAAGUCAGUUAAGAACACAUUCUUAUUUUCAAUGACUGCCUAGGAACGGUGGGUUAACUGCCUUGUUCAGGGGCAGAACGACAGAUUUUUACCUUGUCAGCUCAGGGAUUCAAUCUUGCAACCUUACAGUUAACUAGUCCAACGCUCUAACCACCUGAUCACGUUGCACUCCACGAGGAGCCUGCCUGUUAUGCGAAUGCAGUAAGCCAAGGUAAGUUGCUAGCUAGCAUUAAACUUAUCUUCUAAAAAACAAUCAAUCAUAAUCAAUAGUUAACUACACAUGGUUGACGAUAUUACUAGUUUAUCUAGCGUGUCCUGCGUUGCAUAUAAUCGAUGCGGUGCGCAUUCGUGAAAAAGGACUGUUGUUGCUCCAAUGUGUACCUAACCAUAAACAUCAAUGCCUUUCUUAAAAUCAAUACACAGAAGUAUAUAUUUUUUAACCUACAUAUUUAGCUAAAAGAAAUCCAGGUUAGCAGGCAAUAUUAACCAGGUGAAAUUGUGUCACUUCUCUUGCGUUCAUUGCACGCAGAUUCAGGGUAUAUGCAACAGUUUGGGCUGCCUAAUUUGCCAGAAUUUUACGUAAUUAUGACAUAACAUUGAAGGUUGUGCAAUGUAACAGGAAUAACCACCAGCUUUCAUAUGUUCUGAGCAAGGAACUGAAACGUUAGCUUUCUUACAUUGCACAUAUUGCACUUUUACUUUCUUCUCCAACACUUUGUUUUUGCAUUAUUUAAACCAAAUUGAACAUGUUUCAUUAUUUAUUUGAGGCAAAAUUGAUUUUAUUGAUAUAUUAUAUUAAGUUACAUGAAGUGUUCAUUCACUAUUGUUGUAAUUGUCAUUACAUUUAAAAAAUCGGCAUCUGCUUUUUUUUGGUCCAACAAUAAUCGGUAUCGGCGUUGAAAAAUCAUAAUCGGUCGAUAUCUAACACACACAUCCAAGGAAUGGAAUUAAGAAUAUCUAAAUAUAUGGACGAGCAAUGUCAGAGCGGCAUAGACUAAGAUACAGUAGAAUAGUAUAGAAUACAGCGGCAUAGACUAAGAUAGAGUAUAUGCAGUUGAAGUCGGAAGUUUACAUACACCUUAGCCAAAUACAUUUAAACUGUUUUUCACAAUUCCUGACAUUUAAUCCUAGUAAAAAUUCCCUGUCUUAGGUCACUUAGGAUCACCACUUUAUUUUAAGAUUGUGACUUGUCAGAAUAAUAGUAGAGAGUGAUUUAUUUAAGCUUUUAUUUCUUUCACUGGGAACCACGUUCCCAGUGGGUCAGAAGUUUACAUACACUCAAUUAGUAUUUGGUAGCAUUGCCUUAAAUUGUUUAACUUGGGUCAAAUGUUUUGGGUAGCCUUCCACAAGCUUCCCACAAUAAGUUUGGUCCAUUCCUCCUGACAGAGCUGGUGUAACUGAGUCAGGUUUGUAGGCCUCCUUGCACGCACACACUUUUCCAGUUCUGCCCACACAUUUUCUAUAGGAUUGAGGUCAGGGCCUUGUGAUGGCCACUCCAAUACCUUGACUUUGUUGUCCUUAAGCCAUUUUGCCACAACUUUGGGGUCAUUGUCCAUUUGGAAGACCCAUUUGCGACCAAGCUUUAACUUCCUGACUGAUGCCUUGAGAUGUUUCAAUAUAUCCACAUAAUUUUCCAGCCUCAUGAUGCCAUCUAUUUUGUGAAGUUCACCAGCCCCUCCUGCAGCAAAGCACCCCACAACAUGAUGCUGCCACCCCCGUGCUUCACGGUUGGGAUGGUGGUCUUCGGCUUGAAAGCAUCCCCUUUUUCAUUCCAAACAUAACGAUGGUCGUUAUGGCCAAACAGUUCUAUUUUUGUUUCAUCAGACCAAAAGACAUUUCUCCAAAAAGUAUGAUCUUUGUCCCCAUGUGCAGUUGCAAUCCGUAGUCUAGCUUUUUAUGGCGGUUUUGGAGCAGUGGCUUCUUCCUUGCUGAGCAGCCUUUCAGGUUAUGUCGAUAUAGGACUCGUUUUUACUGUGGAUAUAGAUACUUUUGUACCUGUUUCCUCCAGCAUCUUCACAAGGUCCUUUGCUGCUGUAAUGGGAUUGAUUUGCACUUUUCGCACUAAAGUACGUUCAUCUCUAGGAGACAGAACGCGUCUCCUUUCUGAGCGGUAUGACGGCUGCGUGGUCCCAUGGUGUUUAUACUUGCGUACUAUUGUUUGUACAGAUGAACGUGGACCUUCAGGCAUUUGGAAAUUGCUCCCAAGGAUGAACCAGACUUUUUUUCUGUGGUCUUGGUUGAUUUCUUUUUAUUUUCCCAUGAUGUCAAGCAAAGAGGCACUGAGUUUGAAGGUAGGCCUUGAAAUACAUCCACAGGUACACCUCCAAUUGACUCAAAUUAUGUCAAUUAGCCUAUUGGAAGCUUCUAAAGCUAUGACAUAAUUUUCUGGAAUUUUCCAAGCUGUAUAAAGGCCCAGUCAACUUAGUGUAUGUAAACUUCUGACCCACUGGAAUUGUGAUACAGUUAAUUUUAAGUGAAAUAAUCUGUCUCUAAACAAUUGUUGGAAAAUUGACUUGUCAUUCACAAAGUAGAUGUCCUAACCAACUUGCCAAAACUAUAGUUUGUUGACAAGAAAUUUGUGGAGUGGUUGAAAAACCACCAGCCUAAGUGUAUGUAAACUUCUGAGUUCAACUGUACAUAUGAGAUGAGUAAUGCAAAAUAUGUAAACAUUAUUAAAGUGGCUAGUGUUCCAUUUCUUAGUGGCCAGUGAUUUCAAGUUUCUGUAUAUAGGCUGCAGCCUCUCUAAUGUGCUCGUGAUGGCUAUUUAACAUUCUGUAGGUCUUGAGAUAGAAGCUGUUUUUCAGUCUCUCAGUCCCCGCUUUGAUGCACCUGUACUGACCUCGCCUUCUGGAUGAUAGCGUGGUGAACAGGCAUUGGCUCGGGUGGUUAUUGUCCUUGAUGAUCUUUUUGGCCUUCCUGUGACAUCGGGUGGUGUAGGUGUCCUGGAGGGCAGGUGGUUUGCCCCCGGUGAUGCGUUGGGCAGACAGCACCACCCUCUGGAGAGCCUUAUGGUUGAGGGCGGUGCAGUUGCCGUACCAGGCGGUGAUACGGUCAGACAGGAUGCUCUCGAUUGUGAAUCUGUAAAAGUUUGACGGUUUUAGGUGCCAAGCCAAGUUUUUUUUUCAGCAUCUUGAGGUGUGGGUGGACCAUUUUAGUUUGUCAGUGAUGUGUAUGCUGAGGAACUUGAAACUUUCCACCUUCUCAACUGUGGUCCUGUCGAUGUGGAUAGGGGGUGCUCCCUCUGCUGUUUCCUGAAGUCAGGGUCAUUUCUUUUGUUUUGUUGAUAUUGAGUGUGAUGUUAUUUUCCUGGCACCACACUCCCAGGGCCCUCAACUCCUCCCUGAAGGCUGUCUCGUCAUUGUCGGUAAUCAGGCCUACUACUGUUGUGGCGUUUGCUAACUUGAUGAUUGAGUUGGAGCCGUGCUGUCCACGCAGUCAUGGGUAAACAGGGAGUACAGGAGGGGGCCAUGCACGCACCCUUGUGGGGCCCCAGUGUUGAAGAUCAGCGAAGUGCCGGUGUUGUUUUCUACCUUCACCACCCGUGGCCCGUCAGGAAGUCCAGGACCCAGUUGAACAGGGCAGGGUUCAGACCCAGGGCCUCAAGCUCAAUGAUGAGCUUGGAGGGUACUUGAUGUUGAAUGCUGAGCUAAUGUCAAUUAACAGCAUUACAUAGGUAUUCCUCUUGCCCAGAUGGGUUAGUGCAGUGUGAUGGCAUCGUCUGUGGCUCUAUUGGGGCGGUAUGCAAAUUUGAAGUGGGUCUAGGGUGGCCGGUAAGGUAGAGGUGCUAUGAUCCUUGACUAGUCUCUCAAUGCACUUCAUGAUGACAGAAGUGAGUGCUACGGUGCGAUAGUCAUUUAGUUCAGUUACCUUUGCUUUCUUGGGUACAUGAACAAUGGUGGCCAUCUUGAAGCAAGUGGGGACAGCAGAAUGUGAUAUAGAGAGAUUCAAUAUGUCCGCAAACACACCAGCCAGCCGCCUGGGCCGGCAGCCUUGCAAGGGUUAACACGCUUAAAUGUCUUACUCACGUCGGCUACGGAGGAGAGCCCACAGUCCUUGGUAGCGGGCCGGGUCGGUGGCACUGUGUUAUCCCCAAAGCAGGUGAAGGUGUUUAGUUUGUCUGGAAGCAAGACGUCGGUGUCCGCAACGUGGCUGGUUUUCCCUUUGUAGUCCGUGAUUGUCCGUAGACCCUGCCCACAUACGUCUUGUGUCUGAGCCGUUGAAUUGCGACUCCACUUUGUCUCUGUACUGAAGUUUUGCCUGUUUGAUUGCCUUGUGGAGGGAAUAACUACACUGUUUGUAUUCUGCUAUAUUUCCAAUCAAAUUGCCAUGGUUACCACAUUAAUUCAUUUUUUUGGGUAUAAGCACAGAAGCAGCUAGCUAAAUUACUCUCAGCAUUGGUCAGACAUAAUAGUUGCACAGCAGCAUCAUCCCACUGACUGUGUGUGUGUGUGUGUGUGUGUGUGUGUGUGUGUGUUGCUCUCCAAUU
Molecule: long non-coding RNA, 8209 nt
Organism: Oncorhynchus nerka (sockeye salmon)
Lineage: Eukaryota; Metazoa; Chordata; Actinopteri; Salmoniformes; Salmonidae
Exons: 3
Source: RefSeq, a predicted model, not a curated record